This 27-nucleotide non-coding RNA is filed under the name Cricetulus griseus (Chinese hamster). The record is from RNAcentral. Lineage: Eukaryota; Metazoa; Chordata; Mammalia; Rodentia; Cricetidae.
CUAACCUAGAACACAAACUCUUGCUGA